RNAcentral lists this ribosomal RNA (451 nucleotides) under uncultured bacterium. RNAcentral's name for it is "partial 16S ribosomal RNA". It matches the Rfam family "Bacterial small subunit ribosomal RNA", at positions 28 to 507 of the family's 1533-position model. The record is from RNAcentral.
GAUGAACGCUGGCGGCGUGCCUAACACAUGCAAGUCGAGCGGCAGCGAGGGGUGCUUGCACCCUGUCGGCGAGCGGCGGACGGCUGAGUAACGCGUGGGAACGUGCCCCAAAGUGCGGAAUAACUGCCCGAAAGGGUAGCUAAUACCGCAUAUUAUCUUCGGAUCAAAGGAUUUAUCCGCUUUGGGAGCGGCUCGCGUCGGAUUAGGUAGUUGGUGAGGUAAUGGCUCACCAAGCCGACGAUCCGUAGAUGGUCUGAGAGGAUGACCAGCCAGACUGGAACGGAGACACGGUCCAGAAUCCUACGGGAGGCAGCAGUGAGGAAUCUUCCACAAUGGGCGAAAGCCUGAUGGAGCAACGACGCGUGCAGGACGAAGGCCUUCGGGUUGUAAACUGCUUUUAUAAGUGAGGAAUAUGACGGUAACUAAUGAAUAAGGAUCGGCUAACUACGUG